RNAcentral lists this long non-coding RNA (4524 nucleotides) under Salmo salar (Atlantic salmon). RNAcentral describes it as "lncRNA (ENSSSAG00000096025.1, ENSSSAG00000112904.1)". Lineage: Eukaryota; Metazoa; Chordata; Actinopteri; Salmoniformes; Salmonidae. The record is from RNAcentral.
CACACACACACACACACACACACACACACACACACACACACACACACACACACACAGUUCUGUUAUAGGCACAGACACCAUUCAAACAGUUUUAGAAACUUUAGGGUGUUUUCUAUCAAAAGCCAAUAAUUAUAUGCAUAUUCUAGGAGGAGUAGUAACCAGAUUAAAUCGGGUACGUUUUUUAUCCAGCCGUGUCAAUACUGCCCCCUAGCCCUAACAGGUUAAACUACAUCUUUAAUACUUAAGAUACUUUUGCAAAAGUUCUUGACCCCCAAUAAUGCAUUCUCUCGAAUGAACCAGGAAGGUGAUUACAGAAUGGCUACAGGGAUCUUUUAUAGCAACGAUACACCCCCUUCAACGUACAUUGACAAACCACAGAUACUUAGUAACAGUUCACAAAGGUUAAGUUUUGUAUGACAGAUAUCAAUAAAACACAGACCAGUAUCUGGUCCCCUUAGAACCGUCCCUCCCUGGUACGGUAUUGAACAAAAACACAAUUUCAUCCAAUGGCAUAUAUCAAUUGUCAACUCUAGAUACUCCCAUCUCAAGAAAACCCCCUCUUGACCCCACUCCUGGACAGGCUCACUGGGGAGUGAGCCUCUAGGCCAUAUAAUAUCCCAGGAUAAGUGUGAGAUCUAAGAGAGGACAUACAAGGGUCCAGACACUGCCAUAAUCCUCCCCACAAUAAAGAAAAGGAGGGAGUGACUUGCUCACAGACAUUGUGGAGACAAGUCAUUGGUUCCCCAUUAAUCACGCCAUCCCUUCACAUGGUUUAAGAAAUAGGUAAAGACACAUUCCCAUGACGACAAGUCUGACCUCUCCCCUCUCUGGGCCCCAAGUGUCUGAGCCCCAGCUAAGGUAGACAUGCAACUCAAAAGACACCAGAGUCCAAUGGACACAUUCUAAUGACAAGUAUCUCAAAUAAGCAUAUUAUACUAAUAAAACAUCUUAAUUAUCUAUGUUACCCAACUAAUUCUGAUUCGUCCACGACAACACACACACACGGACAGAUACACACACGCGCGCACACGGACGGACAGACACACAAACACACACAUGGAUGAACAGACACACACGGACGGACAGACACACACACAAACUCAUACACACCCAGAUAUCAAAUAAACUGGGUUUGUGUGGGUUGUGUUUGAGCCAAUGGGUGUUUCUCAAUAUGCAUGCUACCGUGCUCCAAGUGAAUUCUCCUGAGUACUUCCUCUUGAGGUUGAGAGCGUGGAGAACACAUAAAACUUUCCAUUUGAGAAGCACUUCCCCAUUCACUGACCCUUCUUCAAGCCAGGACAAUGACCACAAUAGACGAAGAUAUACACAAAGACAACUUUGACUUCAUAAUUAUCAGCUAGAUAUAUGUGAAUCGUUGUAAUCUAGUUAGCCAGCUAGCUAGUUAAACAGGAAAAAAAUGAACCGAAAAUAAUGUUAUGCAAAAUACAGUCGAUGUCAAUUCUUUGUGGGUAGCUAGCUAAACAAUUUAUUUCGUGGCUAGCCAGUUAGCACUAUUGAUUUACUAUGGACUUCUUCAAGCCAGGACAAUGGCAGUAGAGAUGAAACAAGAUACACACAAAGCAAAAUGUUUUACUUCAUUAACUAUCAGCUAGCUAUUUGCUCGCUGUCUGGGGGUUUUAUGGCUGGGUUUCUGUACAGAACUUUGUGACAUCAGCUGACGUAAGAAGAGCUUUAUAAAUACAUUUGAUUGAUUGAUUGAUUGAUUGCUUGAUUGCUAUAUGUUUAUUGUAAUAAUGUAGCUAACCAGAUAGAAUAACAGGCGAACAAAAAAAAAACCCCGACAUAAACCAAUGUUAUCCAAGGUAAGAUGUCAAUUCUUCGUGGGCAGCAAGCUAACAAUUAUUUGUGGCUCUCUGGCUAGCUAACAGUAGUAGCUAGCUAGUUAGAUCAAUUGAUUUACAAUGAAUUGGCUUACGACCUACGAACACUACAGUGGGUAUUGUAGGCAGGUAACCAUGCCAAAAUGGUCUGUAUUUAUUAACAAAGCAAGAUAAAAAAAAAAAGACAUUGUAGCCAUGCAACAUAUGUGAUUAGCUAACAUUUAAAUUCCCAAGUAGCAUUGUAUUUUCUCUCGCUUCAGCUCAAAUAAUGGCCGCCAUUGAUUUUAAUAAAAUUUGUGUUAUGUUUUUUUUAUGAUUAUUAUUUUUAAAAUGUGUUUGUUUGCUUACAUCGAUGCAUGCUUCAAAAUAUGUACAUAUGGAGGACGCAUUCGAAAAGUGCCCUCCAUGCACUGUUUCACAUACUUUUGAUUUGGGACUCGUACCCACGACCCUCCCCCCUGCUACAAUUUGCCACGGUAUUAUGGAUUAUAGAUAAACACCCCAUUGAGUCAAACAUUUUUUUUUUUUUUUCAUUUUUUUUUUUUUGCCCAGUGGUUUUCCUGAUAAUUUUCAAGUAGAGUUAUUAAUGUUUUCCUGUCGUUUGCUGUGACUUCUACGAUCUAUUGCGGUUUUCUUAAUAUAUACUGUUUAUUCUAACUGUUAUGUGACGGAUGUAUGGUUUUGUCUGAAGACAAUUUCUGAACAUUCUUAUUAAACGUUCUGUGGUGCUAAGCUUUUUUCUUCAACACCAAGGGGCUGAAUCCCCUAUGGCACCCUAUUCCCUAUAUAGGGCACUACUUUGAUCACUACUAGAUCCCUGGUUAAAGGUUUUUGUAUGUUAACUAGACAAGUCAGUUAAGGAAAAAUUCUUAUUUUCAACGACGGCCUAGGAACAGCGGGUUAAACUGCCUUGUUCAGGGGGGGGGCAGAACGACAGAUUUUUGUUGUACCUUGUCAGCUCAGGGAUUUGAUUUUGCAACCUUUGCGGUUACUAGUCCAACGCUCUAACCACUGGGCUACCCUGCCGCCCCAAGGUAGUGCACUAUAUAGGCAAUAGGGUGCCAUAGGGCACAGAACCUUGGAGAUGGACCUCCAAGACUGCCUUAAAAUCUUACAACAAGUUACACGGUAGCAUGGCGGGACAUGAUUUUACCAUCGUCAGUAGUACAAUCCAACACCUCUGUCCCUUUAAACCCCACCAAAUACACACUGCCGCCUUACGAAAGCUUCUGCUGAACUGCAUCAGUGAAACUAUAGUAUCUAAUCUAGUUCUCUGGAUAAGAGCGUCUGCUAAAAUGUUUCAAACCCCUGUGAUGUGAUGAUCGUUGUACUGUUGUAAUUAUGUUUAUUCUCCUCUCUGCUAAUCUCAGUUUAGAGUGUCAGUGUAUGUUUUUUGUUGAAAGGAAACAUGAGGUGUGAUUACAGGUAAAUGAUGUUUUAUUGUCAAGGGCCUACUGUACUGAGUCUAUUCUGGGACCCAAAUGGCACUCUAUUCCCUAUAUAGUGGACUAUUACCUAAUCUGGAAAAUUUGACCUUAGGCAACACAGAGACUAGGGUCUGUUUUCAAUGAUAGACUUACGUCAAUUAAUGUCUACGUCAAUGGGGGGGGGACUUUUGACCAGAGCCCUACUGUGUUUGGCUAGUAAAUAAGUCUUGAAAACUUGACCCUAGGCAACACAGGGACUUGGGUCUGGCUUCAAUUAUGGAUUAUUUUGGCAUUGAGGAACUACAUCACUGGAGGGGGGGAUUUCUGGGGACCAAUCAAAUCACAAGGCUGACAUGAGUCUAGAGCGUCUCGAUUCGAAACCAAAGUUUGCAGCGGUUUUAUCGAAGGGUAGUUGAUGCAAACUAGCCACUUGUGAAAUGCACCCGUUAAAAAUAACCUACAAGUCCUCCAUCUUUGCUAGUUCUGAUUUAUAUUUUAGUCAAGAGUAGUGACGUAGGUAGUGACGUAGUGCCUCUAUGCUACGUAGGUAGUGACGUAGUGCCUCUAUGCUACGUAGGUAGUGACGUAGUGCCUCUAUGCUACGUAGGUAGUGACGUAGUGCCUCUAUGCUACGUAGGUAGUGACGUAGUGCCUCUAUGCUACGUAGGUAGUGACAUAGUUCCUCUAUGCUACGUAGGUAGUGACAUAGGUCCUCUAUGCUACGUAGGUAGUGACAUAGGUCCUCUAUGCUACGUAGGUAGUGACAUAGGUCCUCUAUGACUAAAGAGUCCAUCAUUGAAACCAAAACCUGGUUAUGGUGUUACCCAGGUUCGGGUUUUCAAGACUAUCUACUAGCCGUACAAAGUAUGGCUCUGGUCGAAAUAAUAACAACAUAUCGUCAAAAGUAAUGCACUAUUUAAUAAUAACAAUAUAUAUCAUUUAGCAGACUUUUUUAAAUAUUUUUUUUUAUAUCCAAAGCGACUUAGUUAUGUGUGCGUACAUUUUACAUUACGGGUGGUCCCGAGAAUGGAUCCCACUACCCACCAGGCAUUGCACUUCCUUUCCAACUGAGCUACAGAAAGGACCUAUAACUUCAUAGGAAUAUUCUAGACAUCUCCUACGGAACAGGGAAGCAUUUUGGGAGUCACAGUACUAGCCGAUGUGAGAUUACGAUGCCUGGAUACGAAAGACUUUCCGUGUGUUAAAUCUGAUUAUUAUUAAAAUAUCUUGGUGGUUUGACGAAACGUUAUACGAAA